CACCAGGGAGCGACCAUAUGCAAACCCAAAGCAGCGAGUAUGAUGACUGAAAGCACAUUAAACCGUGACAGUGUUAAAGGCCUUUUACACUGCACGCGUUCAGGGUGUUAAACGAGAUGUGGAUUGCUCUUAAAAAAACACUCUUUUCAAUGAGAAUUGUCGCAUUUUGACAUGUCAUGGCGUAACGGUCGCGUUUCUUGUCAUCAAGCAGAAACAGUCAAAAUUCAACCCAAUCCAACUUUCACCGCUUUGUACUGACGUAGCUUUGCGUUGUCUAAUAGAAAUGAGGCAUCAAGCCAAAACACAGAAGACUUCAGU
Thalassophryne amazonica is the source of this 318-nucleotide long non-coding RNA. RefSeq lists it as uncharacterized. Lineage: Eukaryota; Metazoa; Chordata; Actinopteri; Batrachoidiformes; Batrachoididae. The record is from RefSeq and is a predicted model, not a curated record. The transcript is spliced from 3 exons.